CCUACGGGUGGCAGCAGUAGGGAAUAUUGCUCAAUGGGCGAAACCCUGAAGCAGCAACGCCGCGUGGAGGAUGAAGGUUUUCGGAUUUUUAACUCCUUUUGUUAGAGAAGAUAAUGACGGUAUGUAACGAAUAAGCACCGGCUAACUCCGUGCCAGCAGCCGCAGUUAUACGGAGGGUGCAACGGUUACUCGGAAUCACUGGGCUUAAAGCGCGCGUAGGGGGGAUAGCAAGUCAGAUGUGAAAUGCUAUGGGUUAACCAUAGAACUGCAGUUGAAACUGUUAUUCUAGAGUAUGGGAGAGGUAGGUGGAAUUCGUGGUGUAGGGGUGAAAUGCGUAGAGAUCAAGAGGAAUACUGAGUGCGAAGGCGACAUGCGAGAACAUAACUGACGCUGAUGCGCGAAAGCGUGGGGAGCAAACAGGAUUAGAUACCCUAGUAGUC
RNAcentral lists this ribosomal RNA (440 nucleotides) under uncultured bacterium. Its description in RNAcentral is "partial 16S ribosomal RNA". It matches the Rfam family "Bacterial small subunit ribosomal RNA", at positions 338 to 795 of the family's 1533-position model. The record is from RNAcentral.